This 485-nucleotide ribosomal RNA is filed under the name uncultured bacterium. RNAcentral describes it as "partial 16S ribosomal RNA". It matches the Rfam family "Bacterial small subunit ribosomal RNA", at positions 29 to 507 of the family's 1533-position model. The record is from RNAcentral.
ACGAACGCUGGCGGCGUGCUUAACACAUGCAAGUCGCACGGGAUCCAAAGGCUUUUUGUUUUUGGUGAGAGUGGCGAACGGGUGAGUAACACGUGAGUAACCUGCCCCCUUCUUUUGGAUAACCGCAUGAAAGUGUGGCUAAUACAGGAUAUUCCAGGCUGGUCGCAUGAUUGGUUUGGGAAAUGGUUUGGUCUGGUGGGGGAUGGGCUCGCGGCCUAUCAGCUUGUUGGUGGGGUGAUGGCCUACCAAGGCGGUGACGGGUAGCCGGCCUGAGAGGGUGGGCGGUCACACUGGGAAUGAGAUACGGCCCAGACUCCUACGGGAGGCAGCAGUGGGGGAUUAUGCACAAUGGGCGCAAGCCUGAUGCAGCGACGCCGCGUGAGGGAUGAAGGCCUUCGGGUUGUAAACCUCUUUCGCUGGGUUGAAAGGCCAUGCUUUGGGUGUGGUUGAUUUGAACUGGUAAAGAAGUACCGGCUAACUACGUG